CUAGUUCUCACUUAGUAUGUUUUAGACUGCUUGUAAUAGGAAGGUUUCUGAGUUGUAAUGAGUAAAUUGUUCUAGUCUCAGUAUUCUAAGCUGAGUUAGGAAUCACGUCUUCAAGUUACGGAACUCGAAGACUUGGGAACACUUAUCUUGGGAAGAUUUGUGUUUUUGUAGUAAUAGAAGUUAGAAGUUUUAAUUCCUUGUUUACAAGAAGUCUUGUAAUUGUGUUGAUUGUUGAGGCUCAAAGUUAUAGUGAAGAUUAGGGUUAAAUCCUGUAGAGGUACAGGUCGUGGGUUUUUACACCUUUCUGAGCCGGGUGUUUUCUACGUAAACAUUACUGUGUUCAGUUUUUACUUCUGUGAACCACAUAUACUUACUUAUUCCACAGAUAGGCAAUCAGUAGGGAUCAUACUCUAACAAGUGGUAUCAGAGACGGUUGUCUUACUGGUCACAGUGAAGGUCAAUCCACUACUAGACCCCCACUCUUUCAUGGUACUCAUUUCAUCUGGCGAAAAGCCAGGAUGGAGAUGUUUAUUCAAGGAGAAGACUAUGAAUUAUGGGAUAGGAUUAUUGAAGGUCCUACUAUCCCUAUGAAGACAAAAAAUGGUGUGCAAGUCAAGAAAAUAAGGAGUGAGUUUACUGCUGAUGAUCUUUUGGCUUUAAAGAAAAAUGCUAAGGCAAAGAAUAUCCUAGUCUGUGGUCUAGGACCUGCUGAAUACAAUAGAAUAUCUACCUGUACCACUGCUAAGCAAAUAUGGGAUGCCUUAGUAAAUGCCCAUGAAGGUACCUCUCANNNNNNNNNNNNNNNNNNNNNNNNNNNNNNNNNNNNNNNNNNNNNNNNNNNNNNNNNNNNNNNNNNNNNNNNNNNNNNNNNNNNNNNNNNNNNNNNNNNNNNNNNNNNNNNNNNNNNNNNNNNNNNNNNNNNNNNNNNNNNNNNNNNNNNNNNNNNNNNNNNNNNNNNNNNNNNNNNNNNNNNNNNNNNNNNNNNNNNNNNNNNNNNNNNNNNNNNNNNNNNNNNNNNNNNNNNNNNNNNNNNNNNAAUGGAGGAAGGAAAGAGUUGAAAAAGAACAAAAGGCCAGGAGGAAGGAAAAGGAAGAACAUGCCAUGAUAGCUGCAUGGGGAUCUGACUGUGGAAAUGAUGAUGAUGGAGUUGAUGAGACAGCAUUUAUGGAUUUUGGAGACUCAGACAUUGAGGAAGAAGAUGAUUCUUCUGAGGUAAGUUUACUUGAACUAAAAGAAAAACUGCAUUUUUUUUCUAAAACUAAACUUGUUUCCUUGAUGAGUGAUUUAAUUGAAAAUUUCCAAGAAUUAACUUCUGAUAGGGAUAAAUUGUUCAACAGUUUUGCAAGUCUUAAAUUUGAUUUCAUUGACUUAAAAGUUUGCAAGCAAAAUGUUGACAAAGAAAAUUGCACUCUCAAGGAACAAAUUACACUGCUUGAGUCCUCAAAUAAUGAUCUUAAGUCUGAAAUCCUUAAACUGACUCUCACUGACCAUGGGAAAAAGGCCAUAAGUAAAGAACAAGAAAAUGUUGAACUUGAGUUAACUAAGUACAAACAAGAAUGAUAUGACUUGACUGAAAAGAUGGAUAAGACGAGUCAAGAGGUAGCAAGAUUAAAAUUGGAUCUAUAAAAGUCAAACAGAUGGACAAAUUCUUCAAGAAUUGUUCAUCAGCUUGGUAAAAGAAAUCACAAUGAAAAAGAAGGAUUGGGUUUUUAUAAAGAAGCUGAUAAUCUUCAAGACUUAUGCUAUAUUUGUGGCAAUCUUAGACAUCCUACUACUGAAUGUCCUAUGGUUGCUAAAAGUAGAUAUCAAAGUCUGAACCUGGCAACCAAACUUUCUCAGACCAAGAAAACAAGCACUAAAAUUAGUCUGAGAAAUAAGUCAGUCUACUUGCUUCCUGCUUGGACUAGAAGGAGUUUAAUUCAUUCUUUUACUAACAAAAUAGGACCCAAGCUUGUCUGGGUUCCUAAGUCUAACCAUUGAUUUCUUGUGCAGGCGAAGGUUAAGGGAAACAAAAAGCACUGGUACCUAGAUAGUGCUUGCUCAAGACAUAUGACUGGUGACAAGCAAAAGUUCCUUUUACUCUCCAAAAUAGAUGGUGGGGGAGUCUCUUUUGGAAAUGGAAAAAGGGAAAUCAUAACUGGAGUUGGAAAAAUUGGCUCAUCUGAGUCAAAAACUGUAGAGGAUGUUUAUCUUGUGGAAGGACUGAAGCAUAACCUGCUAAGCAUUUCACAAUUGUGUGACAAAGGUAAUAAAGUAAUUUUCACUGUUGCAGGUGUUAAAGUCAAAAGGAUGGACACCAAAGAAAUUGUGAUUACUACAAGGAGAUACAGAAAUGUAUACAAAGCAGACAUAAUGGCAAUACCAGGACCUAAGUGGACUUGUCUAAGUGUAAUAGAAACUGAUCCCCUCCUUUGGCACAAAAGACUUGGACAUGUAAGUCUGAAACAACUGAACAUACUUUCCUCCAAAUACAUGGUAUUGGGACUACCCAAGACCAAUUUUAAGGAAGAAAAGUUAUGUAGUGCAUUUGGAAGGGGGAAGCAGGUAAAAUCCUCUUUCAAGUCAAAGAUCCAUGUUAGCACUACCAAAUGUCUUGACCUGGUUCAUAUGGACUUGUGUGGACCAAUGAGACAAUAAAGAAAAGGUGGAAAAAAGUAUAUUUUUGUAAUUAUUGAUGUUUAUUCCAGGUUCACCUAGACUUUGUUUCUAGCCUCUAAAGAAGAUGCCUUUGAUGUCUUUGAAAUCUUCAUUAAGAAAAUAGAAAAAAACUGGGCACUUCAUUAGUUUCCAUAAGGUCUGACCAUGGAACAGAAUUUGAGAAUGCAAAAUUCUUAGAUUUUUGUUCAUCAAAUAGAAUAGAUCAUAACUUCUCAGCUCCUAGAACUCCACAACAAAAUGAAGUGGUAGAAAAGAAGAACAGAACCUUAGAAGAUAUGGCUAGAACAAUGAUGCUUGCAGCAAAUGUUGCUAAAAACCUAUGGACUGAGGCAAUAAGUACUGCAGCAUAUGUCACAAACAGAUGCAUAAUCAGACCCUUGUUAGAAAAGACUCCCUAUGAAUUACUAAAAGGUAGAAAGCCUAACAUUUCUCACUUUAGAACUUUUGGUUGCAAAUGUUUCAUACAUAAUAAUGGUAAGGAUAAUUUGGGAAAAUUUGAUGUCAAAAGUGAUGAGGGAAUCUUUUUAGGUCAUUCACUUCAUAGUAAGGCUUACAAAGUUUUAAACAACAGAACUAACUAUGUUGAAGAAAGUAUGCAUAUGAUUUUUGAUGAGUUUUGUGUUAAGACUAACCUGCAGGAAGAAAGCGACACUGAGGAACAGGUUACACAACAUGUUCCAUCGACUGAAGCAGUCAAACUUAGGGGAACUUUCACAGGGGGAACUAAAGCUGAAGGCAUAGUGUUAGGGGGAAUUAAGCCAUCAACUGCUUCAUAUCAGAACAUUAAAAGUAUUCCAAGCAGCUCACUAGGAUUGAUCCCAAAAGGAUACAAGUAUCAAGGUUCGUACCCCAUUGAGAAUAUACUUACUAAUCUCACUUCUAGAAUCACCACAAGAUCUGGAUUGAGAAGUAUGUGUGCAUUCAAGACAUUUUUGUUAGAAAUAGAGCCAAAGAAAUUAAGUGAUGCAUUGCUUGAUGUUGAUUGGAUCAUAGCCAUGCAGGAUGAAUUGAAUUAGUUUGAGAGAAGCAAAGUAUGAUAUUUAGUUCCUCUUCCAAAAGAUAGAUCAGUCAUUGGGACUAAAUGGAUGUACAGAAAUAAAGUUGAUGAGCAUGGAACAGUCACAAGAAACAAGGGAAGACUGGUAGUUCAAGGAUACAACCAAGAAGAAAGAAUUGACUUUGAUGAGACUUUUGCUCCUGUAGCAAGACUUGAAGCCAUAAGAUUGUUGGUUGCCUUUACCUCUUACAAGGAGUUUAUUUUAUACCAGAUGGAUAUGAAGAGUGCAUUCCUAAAUGGCAUUCUCAAAGAAGAGGUUUAUGUGAAGCAACCUCCAGGAUUUGAAAGCAGAGAGUUUCCAGAUCAUGUGUACAAGCUGGAUAAGGCUUUGUAUGGGUUGAAACAAGCACCAAGGGCCUGGUAUGAGAGAUUAUCAAAGUUUCUUCUGGAGCAUGGACAGACCAGAGGUAAAAUUGACAAUACCCUUUUUUUAAAAACUAAUGGAAAGGAUUUAUUAGUUGUGCAGGUGUAUGUGGAUGACAUUAUUUUUGGCUCAACCAACAUGAAUGUGACUCAUGACUUUUCUAAACUCAUGAGUUGUGAGUUUGAAAUAAGAAUUAUGGUUUAGUUGAAUUACUUCCUGGGUCUUCAAAUAAAAUAGUCAGCAUCAGGAACAAUGAUCCAUCAACAAAAGUAUGUCAAAGAGCUUCUCAAGAAAUUAUCCAUGGAGGAAACUAAAGAAAUAAGUACUCUUAUUACCACUGCCACAAAACUUGAUCUGGAUGAAACAGGUUCUGAUGUAGAACAAAAACUAUAUAUAGGUAUGAUAGGGUCUUUAUUGUAUCUCACAGCAAGCAGACCUGACAUUGUAUUUAGUGUAGGACUGUGUGCAAGGUUUCAAGCUAAUCCAAAAGAAUCCCAUCUGAAGUCUGUAAAAAGAAUCUUCAGAUAUUUGAAAGGAACUAGUGAUCUUAGGUUGUGGGAUCCCAAAGGUAGUAACUUUAAUUUGGUAGGAUACUCUGAUACUGAUUAUGCAGGAUAUUUGGUGGACAGGAAAAGCACUACAUGUAUGGCACACUUCUUAGGAUCAUAUUUGAUUACCUGGUCCACAAAGAAAUAAAAUUCAGUAGCUUUGUCUACUGCUGAGGCUGAAUACGUUGCUGCUGGGUCAUGCUGUGCUCAAUUGUUAUGGAUCAAACAAUAACUUCUAGAUUUUGGGGUAGAUGUAGGUUGUGUUCCCAUAUUUUGUGAUAACACAAGUGCUAUAAACAUAGCCAAAAAUCCUAUUCAAUAUAAAAGAACUAAGCAUAUUGAUAUCCGUCAUCACUUUCUUCGAGACAAUGUUGAAAAAGGAAAUAUAUCAAUUAUGUUUUGUUUAACUGAGGAACAAAUUGCUGACAUUUCACUAAGGCUUUGAGUAGGGAACACUUUGAAAAAAAAUAGGUUAGCAUUGGGGAUGAUUAAAAUUGUAUAAAUCUCCUUCAAUGAUUGACUAAAAUAUGUUAUGCCUGAGUUAUUGUUGAUUAAUUCAGUCUUACACAUUUAGUUGUGUGUCCUAAUUCCAAGAUUUAAAGCAAUAUGAUAUAUCUGUGUGUUGUUUUUUUUGAUAGAUGGAUCAUCAAGGCAAGAGUGGUCAUGGACUAAUCAAACACAGGUAUAAUUAUUGUUUUCCAUAGUAGCAUUAAGAGAAACAGGUCAUCUACAUGGUUCCUUCUAUAAUGAUUAAAACCACCAAAACCCAACAGUCAUCUUCUUCAAAAGGCUGCCAGACCUUUUAUAUCCGUACUGAAGCUUUACAUCAGCAUGUUUCUCCAAAAUCACAGUCCCUUAUCUUUUAACUUCCCUCUCACUCUUCUUAAAUACACCUCUUUUUUCUCUUCUAUCUCCACUUCUCCUUCAACCUCUGAAUAUUCAACAUACUAUGGCAUCUUCUUCCUCUCCUCCUUCUUCUACAAAAUCUGACAUUAAUCCUUCUACAUAACUUAUUCUCCACCUAAACAUCAAUUUACCCUCACUUAUCCAACCCCAAAUCCUUCUCAACCUAUCUGAUUUCCUAUUCUUCAAUACCUUACCACACCCCUUCUCUUACUCAUCUUUCAAACUCACUCUUUCUAGAACCCUUACCACUAUCAGUAGAUCCUCUUCAAAUCCUUGAUCGAGAUGACAUUCCAAUUGCCAACCUUAUUCCUAGACGGUCAAGAUCGACUCUGAAACAAAAACCCUCAUUUAUCGCCAUUGAUAUCGAUGAUGAUACUCCUGAACACUCUUCUCCCGUCAUCCCUUCAUCUCAAACUCCACAUACUCAGAGAAGAAAACAACAAGAAGAUUCUUAUUUGGAAGAGAAACUUAGGGCAAGUAAAAAAAAUGAGUCAUGCCGAAUGCUUCUCCUCCCCCGUGUGAUUGCUCUCCUGACAUUCUCAUUCGCUCUAAGAGAAAGCUGAAGCAGAAGUAUACCAUAGCUAAAACAUCAAAACCAUAUCUCUCUCAUAAAAUUUCCCCUCUCUCACUCCCAAAGCCUCCACAUCUUCAAAAUCCACUGUCAAAGCCUCUACUGACAAAGUCUCUACUGAAAAGCCUCUACUCCUUCUAAAGAUACUCCAAAAUCUGUAUGACUUCCGAAGAAACAGGUCCCCAAACCUGGUCCUUCUGUCUCAUCUGCCUCAGAUUCAGACUAUCUUCCUAACACUUCUUCUGUGCCUUCUGAUGAUUCUGAUGUUGAUAUUAAUGUUGAUACACCUGCUGCUAAAGCUUCUCAGUCAGACCAUGUUCUGCAUUUUUAGAAAUGAAAGAUGGUUAGAGGUAGGGUUGUCACUGGUUUUAGGGGUCCUGAUAUGGAAACUUUGGUCUCCAAAUUGAGGGCUCAGGGGUGGUCAUCCUUGCUUCUGUAAGGUAAUCAUCAAAGAAGGUUUGGAAAAGAUGAAGUCUAUGAAUUUUAUACACAUGAAGUUGCGAUUGGGGAAAUGAUCUCAACCUCUGUUCAUGGAAAACUCAUCAAUCUUUAUCCUGCUGAUUUGGGUAGAAUUCUAAGUGUUCCUACUGGAGGUUGGGGUCACUAUGUGAAAGAAUCUUGGCCUCCUCUUGACAAUCUUCCAUCUGCCCUUGAUAUCUGCAAAAAAUUUUUUGGAAAUCCUCUCCUUUCUUCUUAUCGUAGGGUGAUAAAAAAUGAAAUGUCUUCUCUCUAUCAGUUGUAUUUUGAUGUGGUCCACAAAAUGAUCUUACCCAGGAAGGAGAGGUGCACAAUUGCAAGCUUUCUUGAUCUUACCUUAAUGGUACUCGUCAAAGAUAAGAAUGGUCAUGCUCUGCCGUAUCAGUUCUGGCUUGCCCUUGUGUUUGAUGAUUUUCAUGUCUCUGUCAAGGUGUGGUCCUUACAGACAACUAAAGAUGUGAUUGUCCAAGUGAACCAUGCUAUGUUACCUGCUGCUAUGAGACAUGCAGACAACCCUAUGCAGAAGUUGUGAAAUGCCUUAGAGGCAAAGCAGGGUGAUCUAGAGGUUGCACAGGCUAUAUUGGAGGCUGCCCAGGCUAUUCAUAAAGAUGAAAAGAGGGCUCUUAAAGCUCAAAUUGCUUCCCUAACAGCCACUUUGGAGAAGGAAAGAAUUGAAAAUGCUACUAUCAUUCGAUCAUUGACCUCUUUUAUCCCCUCUACCUCCUCGAAAUAAACUCUUUCUUCGUCCCUUAGCUUUUUUUUUUCUUUUUUCCUACUUCUUGGUCCAACUUGUUUCUCUUUUUAGUCUUACUGGAUAAUGAUAAUUGUAUCUAUUUUUUUGCAUGACAUGGACCUCUUUUGCCUCACUUAAUCUACUUCUAUUUAGUUCAAUGCUUAGUUAUCUCUUGCUCUGACUCUUGCUUGUUUUAGUGAUAGCCCCAGUGGCCAUGAAUUAUUAAACAGUUUUUCACUUAUUGGCUUAGCUUUUUGAUGAUGUCAAAAGGGAGAAGUAUAGAUUAUACAAUGCUUAUAACUCAAUUGAUCUAACUUGUUUCAUUCUACUGUGAUCCUUUUAUUGAAUUUCUUAUUGAGUAUGUCAAGUUCUUGGUAAUACUGUGCUGAUAAGUUUGUCAUCAUCAAAAAGGGGGAAUUUGUUAGGGCAUGAGAAGUUUUGAUGAUAGACAGAUGAAUGAAACAUGUUGUGCAAGCUGGUCCAUACAAGUGAAACUGCUUCGGACAUAUGGAGUGCAUGCUGAAAUCAUUACAUGCUAAAAUUAUUACAUAAGCUAUUAACACAUGGAUAAGCAAAGAAUUUUCACACAGCUAUAUGAAGAUAAUUGGAGCAGUUAGAGUUUGAGUAGAUCAAAAAGUCUACGAGGCAGAAGGAUAAAGCAAAAGAGUCCUACUCAAUUUAGAAGAAGGAGAGAUAGUUAUAACAAGGAGUGAGUUACUUGAAAGAGUCCUAUAGAAGAUACAAGUAAAGAAGAAAAAGGAAUGCAUCUGAGGGAGCAUAUAUAGACGACAAGCUGCAUUCAAAUAACCAUUCAUGCACUGAUAAGAAAAUCAACAAUCAGCAAAAUCGUUCACCAACUUGAAAAAGAACCUAAUUCUCACUUAGUAUGUUUUAAACUGCUUAUAAUAGGAAGGUUCUUGAGUUGUAAUGAGUAAAUUGUUCUAGUCUCAGUAUUCUAUAAGCUGAGUUAGGAAUCACGUCUUCAAGUUAGGGAACUCGAAGACUUGGGAACACUUAUCUUGGGAAGAUUUGUGUUUUUGUAGUAAUAGGAGUUAGAAGUUUUAAUUCCUUGUUUACAAGAA
RNAcentral lists this long non-coding RNA (8396 nucleotides) under Capsicum annuum. RNAcentral's name for it is "long non-coding RNA (CANN_LNC003218)". Lineage: Eukaryota; Viridiplantae; Streptophyta; Magnoliopsida; Solanales; Solanaceae. The record is from RNAcentral.